RNAcentral lists this microRNA (23 nucleotides) under Pongo pygmaeus (Bornean orangutan). Its description in RNAcentral is "ppy-miR-3661". Lineage: Eukaryota; Metazoa; Chordata; Mammalia; Primates; Hominidae. The record is from miRBase by way of RNAcentral.
UGACCUGGGACUCGGAUAGCUGC